RNAcentral lists this ribosomal RNA (253 nucleotides) under uncultured bacterium. Its description in RNAcentral is "partial 16S ribosomal RNA". It matches the Rfam family "Bacterial small subunit ribosomal RNA", at positions 524 to 776 of the family's 1533-position model. The record is from RNAcentral.
UACGGGGGGGGUAAGCGUUGUUCGGAAUUACUGGGCGUAAAGGGCUCGUAGGCGGCCAACUAAGUCAUACGUGAAAUCCCUCAGCUUAACUGGGGAAUUGCGUGUGAUACUGGAUGGCUUGGAUUUGGGAGAGGGAUGCGGAAUUCCAGGUGUAGCGGUGAAAUGCGCAGAUAUCAGGAAGAACACCCGUGGCGAAAGCGGCUCUCUGGAACGGUGCUGACGCUGAGACGCGAAAGCGUGGGGAGCGAACAGG